AUCUUGGUUCGGGACGAACGCUGGCGGCGUGCCUAAUACAUGCAAGUCGAACGGCUUUUCUAUGGAAGCUUGCUUCCACUGAGAAGACAGUGGCGAACGGGUGAGUAACACGUGGGUAACCUGCCCAUAAGAGGGGGAUAACAUCCGGAAACGGGUGCUAAUACCGCAUAGUUUUCUUGAUCGCAUGAUCGGGAAAGGAAAGACGGCCUUUGUGCUGUCGCUUAUGGAUGGACCCGCGGCGUAUUAGUUAGUUGGUGAGGUAACGGCUCACCAAGACGAUGAUACGUAGCCGACCUGAGAGGGUGAUCGGCCACAUUGGGACUGAGACACGGCCCAAACUCCUACGGGAGGCAGCAGUAGGGAAUCUUCCGCAAUGGACGAAAGUCUGACGGAGCAACGCCGCGUGAGUGAAGAAGGUUUUUCCGGGAUCGUAAAACUCUGUUGUCAGAGAAGAACAAGUUGGAGAGUAACUGCUCCAGCCUUGACGGUAUCUGACCAGAAAGCCACGGCUAACUACGUGCCAGCAGCAGC
This 531-nucleotide ribosomal RNA is filed under the name uncultured bacterium. Its description in RNAcentral is "bacterial SSU rRNA". It matches the Rfam family "Bacterial small subunit ribosomal RNA", at positions 16 to 518 of the family's 1533-position model. The record is from RNAcentral.